RNAcentral lists this ribosomal RNA (693 nucleotides) under uncultured Bacteroidales bacterium. RNAcentral's name for it is "bacterial SSU rRNA". It matches the Rfam family "Bacterial small subunit ribosomal RNA", at positions 65 to 748 of the family's 1533-position model. The record is from RNAcentral. Lineage: Bacteria; Pseudomonadati; Bacteroidota; Bacteroidia; Bacteroidales.
AGGGGCAGCAUGGUCUUAGCUUGCUAAGGCCGAUGGCGACCGGAGCACGGGUGAGUAACACGUAUCCCACCUGCCGUCUACUCUUGGACAGCCUUCUGAAAGGAAGAUUAAUACACGAUGGCAUCAUGAGUCCGCAUGUUCACAUGAUUAAAGGUAUUCCGGUAGACGAUGGGGAUGCGUUCCAUUAGAUAGUAGGCGGGGUAACGGCCCACCUAGUCUUCGAUGGAUAGGGGUUCUGAGAGGAAGGUCCCCCACAUUGGAACUGAGACACGGUCCAAACUCCUACGGGAGGCAGCAGUGAGGAAUAUUGGUCAAUGGGCGAGAGCCUGAACCAGCCAAGUAGCGUGAAGGAUGACUGCCCUAUGGGUUGUAAACUUCUUUUAUAAAGGAAUAAAGUCGGGUAUGGAUACCCGUUUGCAUGUACUUUAUGAAUAAGGAUCGGCUAACUCCGUGCCAGCAGCCGCGGUAAUACGGAGGAUCCGAGCGUUAUCCGGAUUUAUUGGGUUUAAAGGGAGCGUAGAUGGAUGUUUAAGUCAGUUGUGAAAGUUUGCGGCUCAACCGUAAAAUUGCAGUUGAUACUGGAUAUCUUGAGUGCAGUUGAGGCAGGCGGAAUUCGUGGUGUAGCGGUGAAAUGCUUAGAUAUCACGAAGACUCCGAUUGCGAAGGCAGCCUGCUAAGCUGCAACUGACAUUG